AUCACUUCUCGGCCUUUUGGCUAAGAUCAAGUGUAGUAUAUAACAACUUUUAACUCUUUAGGAAACAGGGAGAUAGAUCUUUU
Heterocephalus glaber (naked mole-rat) is the source of this 83-nucleotide small nuclear RNA. Its record names the gene U2. It matches the Rfam family "U2 spliceosomal RNA". Rfam says of the family: U2 is a small nuclear RNA (snRNA) component of the spliceosome (involved in pre-mRNA splicing). NCBI's taxonomy places the organism in Eukaryota, Metazoa, Chordata, Mammalia, Rodentia, Bathyergidae. The record is from Ensembl.